RNAcentral lists this unclassified non-coding RNA (315 nucleotides) under fungal sp. RNAcentral's name for it is "partial internal transcribed spacer region". The stretch from base 1 to 46 matches the Rfam family "Eukaryotic small subunit ribosomal RNA", at positions 1786 to 1831 of the family's 1831-position model. Lineage: Eukaryota; Fungi. The record is from RNAcentral.
AAGUCGUAACAAGGUUUCCGUAGGUGAACCUGCGGAAGGAUCAUUAACAAUUUUUACUUGGCUUUAGAAACCGACGCAAGUUGGAGACUAGGGUCAUUUUACACACCUGUAAACUGUACUAUCGCUUCUGUCGUAAUGUUAGUGUGGCAACAUGUUAGCAUGAAAGCAGAAGCAGUCUUUGUUGGUUUAGUAUGCGCAAGUGUGCUAGACUAGCUUUGACACCUUAACCUUCACCUUUUGUGAUUAAUGUGAAUAGUGUUGGAUUUGGGAUAAUGCGGCAAAAUAUAACUUUUAACAAUGGAUCUCUAGGCUCUU